RNAcentral lists this ribosomal RNA (465 nucleotides) under Vreelandella stevensii. Its description in RNAcentral is "partial 16S ribosomal RNA". It matches the Rfam family "Bacterial small subunit ribosomal RNA", at positions 338 to 795 of the family's 1533-position model. Lineage: Bacteria; Pseudomonadati; Pseudomonadota; Gammaproteobacteria; Oceanospirillales; Halomonadaceae. The record is from RNAcentral.
CCUACGGGUGGCAGCAGUGGGGAAUAUUGGACAAUGGGCGAAAGCCUGAUCCAGCCAUGCCGCGUGUGUGAAGAAGGCCUUCGGGUUGUAAAGCACUUUCAGUGGGGAAGAAAGCCUUGGGGCUAAUACCCUCGAGGAAGGACAUCACCCACAGAAGAAGCACCGGCUAACUCCGUGCCAGCAGCCGCGGUAAUACGGAGGGUGCGAGCGUUAAUCGGAAUUACUGGGCGUAAAGCGCGCGUAGGCGGUCUGAUAAGCCGGUUGUGAAAGCCCCGGGCUCAACCUGGGAACGGCAUCCGGAACUGUCAGGCUAGAGUGCGGGAGAGGAAGGUAGAAUUCCCGGUGUAGCGGUGAAAUGCGUAGAGAUCGGGAGGAAUACCAGUGGCGAAGGCGGCCUUCUGGACUGACACUGACGCUGAGGUGCGAAAGCGUGGGUAGCAAACAGGAUUAGAUACCCUUGUAGUC